CUGGGAGACCGGGAAGUUGAACGACCUGCCGUGUACAGCCACCUACCCAUUCAUCUGCCAGAAAGCUGCAGGCCAAGGUCCACCACCUGUUCCUCCCACCUCAGGACCAGGCUGGAAUGAGAAGUGUGGCUCCUGGCUAGCUGACCCCUUUAAUGACUACUGCUACCUGCUGAGCUCUCUCUCCUUACGGAAGUGGGCGGAGGCUCGUGCAGACUGCCUGAACCAGGGCGGAGACCUCGCCAGCAUCACUG
Non-coding RNA from Electrophorus electricus (electric eel), 251 nucleotides. The record is from RefSeq and is a predicted model, not a curated record. NCBI's taxonomy places the organism in Eukaryota, Metazoa, Chordata, Actinopteri, Gymnotiformes, Gymnotidae.